GCCCUGCGAGUGUGCCGGCAGCACGGCAGCGUUCGAAGCUGCCAGACGAGGUUCGAUUCCUCGGUGGGGCG
This 71-nucleotide transfer RNA is filed under the name Planctomycetota bacterium. RNAcentral's name for it is "Planctomycetes bacterium (activated sludge metagenome) tRNA-Arg". Lineage: Bacteria; Pseudomonadati; Planctomycetota. The record is from RNAcentral.